Molecule: ribosomal RNA, 515 nt
Filed under: Scincus scincus (sandfish skink)
Lineage: Eukaryota; Metazoa; Chordata; Lepidosauria; Squamata; Scincidae
Description: partial 16S ribosomal RNA
Rfam family: Bacterial large subunit ribosomal RNA
Source: RNAcentral
AGGUCCCGCCUGCCCAGUGAAAAUUUUAACGGCCGCGGUAUUCUAACCGUGCAAAGGUAGCGUAAUCACUUGUCUUCUAAAUAAAGACCAGUAUGAACGGCUAAAUGAGGACAGACCUGUCUCCUAUGACUAAUCAGUGAAACUGAUCUUCCAGUACAAAAGCUGGAAUACAGACAUAAGACGAGAAGACCCUGUGGAGCUUCAAACAUCCACUAACAAGCAAAUAAUCUGCCCUAGUGUGUAGUUUUGAGUUGGGGCGACUUCGGAGUAAAAUAAAACCUCCGAGCACAGAGCCACACACUCUCACCAAGACCAACAAGCCAAAGUUAAAACAGCCGACCCAGUAACACUGAUCAACGAACCAAGUUACCCCAGGGAUAACAGCGCUAUCUUCUUCAAGAGUCCCUAUCGACAAGAAGGUUUACGACCUCGAUGUUGGAUCAGGACACCCAAAUGGUGCAGCCGCUAUUAAUGGUUCGUUUGUUCAACGAUUAACAGUCCUACGUGAUCUGAGU